RNAcentral lists this RNase P RNA (428 nucleotides) under Pseudomonadota bacterium. RNAcentral's name for it is "RNase P RNA component class A". It matches the Rfam family "Bacterial RNase P class A". From Rfam's summary of the family: Ribonuclease P (RNase P) is a ubiquitous endoribonuclease, found in archaea, bacteria and eukarya as well as chloroplasts and mitochondria. Its best characterised activity is the generation of mature 5'-ends of tRNAs by cleaving the 5'-leader elements of precursor-tRNAs. Cellular RNase Ps are ribonucleoproteins. Lineage: Bacteria; Pseudomonadati; Pseudomonadota. The record is from RNAcentral.
CCAGAGGGUCGGGCGGCCGCCCUUCUUCGCCAAGCUACGAAGGGCAGGCAUUGAGCUUGCCCUUGCGAAGCUUCAGCGAAGGAGGGAGGAAAGUCCGGGCUCCAUGGAACGACGGUGCCGGGUAACACCCGGCGGGGGCGACCCCAGGGAAAGUGCCACAGAAAGCAGACCGCCGCGUCUCGAUGCGGCAAGGGCGAAAGGGUGGGGUAAGAGCCCACCGCGGCUCCGGCAACGGCAGCCGGCACGGUAAACCCCACCGGGAGCAAGACCGAAUAGGGGCGGCAUAUGGGCUUCGUUCCGGCCCCGUCGCCCGGGUAGGUUGCUCGAGGGGCGGAGCGAUCCGUCUCCCAGAGGAAUGGCCGCCCAGUCCGCCGAAGCCUCGCGCCGAGGCGGAUGGACAGAACCCGGCUUACAGACCCUCUGGCAUU